AGGACGAACGCUGGCGGCGUGCCUAAUACAUGCAAGUAGAACGCUGAAGACUUUAGCUUGCUAAAGUUGGAAGAGUUGCGAACGGGUGAGUAACGCGUAGGUAACCUGCCUACUAGCGGGGGAUAACUAUUGGAAACGAUAGCUAAUACCGCAUAACAGCUUUUAACUCAUGUUAGGAGCUUGAAAGAUGCAAUUGCAUCACUAGUAGAUGGACCUGCGUUGUAUUAGCUAGUUGGUGAGGUAACGGCUCACCAAGGCGACGAUACAUAGCCGACCUGAGAGGGUGAUCGGCCACACUGGGACUGAGACACGGCCCAGACUCCUACGGGAGGCAGCAGUAGGGAAUCUUCGGCAAUGGGGGCAACCCUGACCGAGCAACGCCGCGUGAGUGAAGAAGGUUUUCGGAUCGUAAAGCUCUGUUGUAAGAGAAGAACGUGUGUGAGAGUGGAAAGUUCACACAGUGACGGUAACUUACCAGAAAGGGACGGCUAACUACGUGCCAGCAGCCGCGGUAAUACGUAGGUCCCGAGCGUUGUCCGGAUUUAUUGGGCGUAAAGCGAGCGCAGGCGGUUUAAUAAGUCUGAAGUUAAAGGCAGUGGCUUAACCAUUGUUCGCUUUGGAAACUGUUAGACUUGAGUGCAGAAGGGG
This 648-nucleotide ribosomal RNA is filed under the name Streptococcus equinus. Its description in RNAcentral is "bacterial SSU rRNA". It matches the Rfam family "Bacterial small subunit ribosomal RNA", at positions 26 to 657 of the family's 1533-position model. Lineage: Bacteria; Bacillati; Bacillota; Bacilli; Lactobacillales; Streptococcaceae. The record is from RNAcentral.